RNAcentral lists this ribosomal RNA (368 nucleotides) under uncultured organism. Its description in RNAcentral is "bacterial SSU rRNA". It matches the Rfam family "Bacterial small subunit ribosomal RNA", at positions 526 to 896 of the family's 1533-position model. The record is from RNAcentral.
CGGAGGGGGCUAGCGUUGUUCGGAAUGACUGGGCGUAAAGGGCGCGUAGGCGGUUUUUUAAGUGAGGCGUGAAAGCCCUGGGCUUAACCCAGGAAUUGCGUUUCAGACUGGAAAACUUGAGUGCGAGAGAGGUAAGUGGAAUUCCUAGUGUAGAGGUGAAAUUCGUAGAUAUUAGGAAGAACACCAGUGGCGAAGGCGGCUUACUGGCUCGUAACUGACGCUGAGGCGCGAAAGCGUGGGGAGCAAACAGGAUUAGAUACCCUGGUAGUCCACGCUGUAAACGAUGUGUGCUAGACGUUGGAGGGGAACCUUCAGUGUCGCAGCUAACGCAUUAAGCACACCGCCUGGGGAGUACGGUCGCAAGAUUA